This 76-nucleotide transfer RNA is filed under the name Oscillospiraceae bacterium. RNAcentral describes it as "tRNA-Ala". It matches the Rfam family "tRNA". From Rfam's summary of the family: Transfer RNA (tRNA) molecules are approximately 80 nucleotides in length. Their secondary structure includes four short double-helical elements and three loops (D, anti-codon, and T loops). The record is from RNAcentral. Lineage: Bacteria; Bacillati; Bacillota; Clostridia; Eubacteriales; Oscillospiraceae.
GGGGGUAUAGCUCAGCUGGGAGAGCGCUUGAAUGGCAUUCAAGAGGUCAGGGGUUCGAUCCCCCUUAUCUCCACCA